Cyprinus carpio carpio is the source of this 1970-nucleotide long non-coding RNA. The record is from Ensembl. Lineage: Eukaryota; Metazoa; Chordata; Actinopteri; Cypriniformes; Cyprinidae.
AUAAAUAAAAUGUCACAAGCACAGAAGUAUAAUGCCAAACUGAUUUUAUUUAAAAACAAGUCUGUCUGUGUAAUAGUGUGAUGUAGUCAAUAUUUACAAAUUUUAGAUUUUGACAUCUAGCAAAAUGUAUAAAUUGCAAAACGUUUAAACAAUAAUUUAGGCCAAUGUUUAAACUGCAGGCAAAAUGGAUUUCCAGCUUAUUUUGCUGUUGUUUAAGAAUUACAGCCAGAAUUAGUGCUAUUUGUUUCUCCAUUAGAAAAACAGAGCCAGGUAAUAUGAACGACUGAAAUUGACAGAUUUCGAUUUGUGUGCCCAUGCAUCUCCUCCAAUAAUAUUUUUUCUGUUGUGUAUAUAGUUAAACCAACUAUAAAGAUGAGUGCUGUUGUCUCUGUCUGUCCAGUUCAAAAACACAUGGCAACCCUUCCGACAUGAAGCAGCCAUUCCUUUCAUGACAUUCCUCAAUCAUAGCUUUCCAUAACUACAAAGUUAUAUAAAAAAAAACAAUUUGGACACCAUAAAGAACAAAAACAAACCAAAAAAAAAAGUCCAAGUUUUUGAGCAGUUGGAUCUCCGCAAAAAAGCAAAUAUUACAUGAAAAUAAUGUGGCAGAUUGUAACAAAUCAAGCAGUCUGAAUCUGUACACAGUAUACUAGUACUCUGCAGUAAUACUAACUGCAUAAAGACAAAACUGAAAUAUUCUUGCAUUGUUAACCAGUAAUGUGUUUGAAUAUUCACGGCUAUCAACAGCAAACAGAGUGAAUAUGAAGUUGCAACUGCACAUACAACCAACGUACCACAGAGGGGAAAACAACUGACCACGUUCACAUAGUAUACUUCCCAUUUAGUCUAGUGCAAAUAUGGUCCCACCUACAAAAAAGUGCAGGUUGAAACAAAGAAUACAUGGCACAGGAAAAUUCUCAUGAGAGCAUUUGUGAAGUGCUCGUUAUGCUCCGCUCCUUAUGGUAAUUCCUUUAUUUGCACUGAUAAAGUUCAAGGUUUUUUUCACACAUGGGAUGCAAAGAUUUCCCUCUAUAGCUCCAUGUCUUCCUCUCCAGAGUUGAGGAGUGCUGGGCUGCUGAACAGGGGGCUAAAAGUCUGCUCACUGGGUGCUGUGAACUGGGGCUGGGGCGGGGGGCUGCUGAUAGGCGGUACAGGGGUGGGAGUCUGUCUGCUCACUGCCAACUGCUUGCGCUGCUGUCUCUGUAAAGAGUCCUUCAGCCUCUGGGUGAGAGGGUCCUCAGGGGGGCGCCACAACACCAAUUCCAUACAAGAGCAGCUCCUGCAGAGGUGAGUGAAGAAGAUGAGCUCAGUGCUGUUGGUAGAAGCUGAUAUUCUGUUGCUGGAUUGGGAACACCACCACCUACCUCUGUUUCUUUUUUUUUUAAUCAUAUUUUGAUUUUACACUAUUGUUCAAAAGUUUGGGGUCUGUAAGAUUUUUCACGUUUUUAAUGUUUCUGAAAAAAAGUCUCAUAUAGGCUGCAUUUGUUUGAUGAAAAAUACAAUAAAACGCUAAUGUGAUGAAAUAUUAUUAUUAUUAUGAAAUAACUUGUAUUUUAAUAUUUUAAAAUGUAAUUUAUUCCUAUAAUGGCAAAGCUGAGGUCCUUUCUAAUAUGCUGUAAUAUGUUGAUUUGCUGCUCAAGAAAUAUUUCUUUCUAUUAUCAAUGUUGAAAACAGUUUAUACUUUUGUGGAAACCUUGAUAGAUUUUUUUUUUUCAGGAUUCUUUGAUGAAUAGAACGUUUUUUAUUUUUUUUAGUUGUUAUUACUGUUUAUUAUGCUUGACAAGUAGCAUACAUAGAAACCUGAAAAUAAGACACGUACACUGACUGUGCUACCGUAUGGGGUAGAAUGUCACCAAUCCCACGUUGUAGCCCCUCCCUUAAGCUGUCGGACAUCACCAGCACUGGUCUGCGCUGAGCCGGUUCCACAUCAAGCUCUUCUUCAUCGCUGUCAUCCUUCAAAGUUAUCCUGU